RNAcentral lists this transfer RNA (73 nucleotides) under Thermomonospora cellulosilytica. It matches the Rfam family "tRNA". Rfam says of the family: Transfer RNA (tRNA) molecules are approximately 80 nucleotides in length. Lineage: Bacteria; Bacillati; Actinomycetota; Actinomycetes; Streptosporangiales; Thermomonosporaceae. The record is from Rfam by way of RNAcentral.
GUCCUCGUGGUGGAGGGGAGAACACGCCUGGUUGCGGACCAGGAGAGCGCAGGUUCGAAUCCUGCCGGGGACA